GACGAACGCGUGGCGGCGUGGAUUAGGCAUGCAAGUCGAACGGUAUCAUCCUUCGGGGUGAGAGAGUGGCGAACUGGUGAGUAACACGUAGGUUAUCUACCCUCAAGACGGGGACAACCCAGGGAAACUUGGGCUAAUACCGGAUGUGAGCAACUUUUAGUUGUUUGAAAGGUGGCGUAAGCUGUCGCUUGGGGAUGAGCCUGCGUCCUAUUAGUUAGUUGGUGAGGUAACGGCUCACCUAGGCAAUGAUAGGUAGGCGGCCUUAACGGGUGGUCGCCCACACUGGGAUUGAGAUACGGCCCAGACUCCUACGGGAGGCAGCAGUCGAGAAUAGUCUACAAUGGUCGGAAGACUGAUAGUGCGACGCCGCGUGAACGAUGAAUCCCUUCGGGGUGUAAAGUUCUUUUAUAUGUGAGCAGUGCUUCUUAUAUUAACAGUAUGGGGAGAGAGAUAUUAGCAUAUGAAUAAGCAACGGCUAACUCCGUG
Molecule: ribosomal RNA, 486 nt
Filed under: uncultured bacterium
Lineage: Bacteria
Description: bacterial SSU rRNA
Rfam family: Bacterial small subunit ribosomal RNA
Source: RNAcentral